UACGGAGGGUGCAAGCGUUAUCCGGAUUCACUGGGUUUAAAGGGAGCGCAGGCGGACUUGUAAGUCAGUGGUGAAAUACCUGAGCUUAACUCGGGAACUGCCAUUGAUACUAUAGGUCUUGAAUGUUGUUGAGGUUUGCGGAAUGGGUCAUGUAGCGGUGAAAUGCAUAGAUAUGACCCGGAAAACCUAUUGCGAAGGCAGCAGGCUAAACAAAUAUUGACGCUGAGGCUCGAAAGCGUGGGGAUCAAACAGGAUUAGAUACCCUGGUAGUCCACGCCCUAAACGAUGAUUACUCGACAUACGCGAUACACAGUGUGUGUCUGAGCGAAAGCAUUAAGUAAUCCACCUGGGAAGUACGACCGCAAGGUUGAA
RNAcentral lists this ribosomal RNA (372 nucleotides) under uncultured bacterium. Its description in RNAcentral is "bacterial SSU rRNA". It matches the Rfam family "Bacterial small subunit ribosomal RNA", at positions 524 to 898 of the family's 1533-position model. The record is from RNAcentral.